UGGGAAUCCGAGCUGGGCUCUGGAGCUGAGGUUGGCGGGUGCAGAAAGAAGGGCCCGGGAGGGGGCCGAAAGCUCUCAGUAGAGGUGCCUGCAAGGCCUUGGUUGCCAAGGUUACCUCUCAGUUUCUGACCACACAUAGAAACCUGAGGCUGAGUGAAGCCGAUCUGCAGGCAGAGGCUGGGCUGAGUUAUUCCAGGAGGAUGACAUCAGCUCACUCCUACACUACCUCAGUGGUGACAACCCUGCUCUGCUGCCCAGAGCUGAUAAGAAACAUCACCCAGGGAAGACCAGAUGCCUCUUCCUCACUUCCUAAUCAGAGUGGAGAUACUGCUAAAUAUAUUCAUAACUUUGCAAACAUCUUUGGGUAAUGUCCAGGCCCUCUUUUGUGGUUCCCUAUCAUCUUCUCUUAAAGUUGUACAUUUUAAUUUUAAGAUCAGCUCCAGGCCAGCUAGUCUGGGAUUUAUUCUUUAGAAUCAGGAACAGGAGAACAUCUUCUUGACCAAAAGGGGGAUGUGAAAGGAAAUGAAAUAAGCUUCAGUGGCAGAGAGAUUCCAAAAGGAGCCGAGAGGUCACUCUGGUGGGCACU
Long non-coding RNA from Choloepus didactylus (southern two-toed sloth), 586 nucleotides. RefSeq lists it as uncharacterized. NCBI's taxonomy places the organism in Eukaryota, Metazoa, Chordata, Mammalia, Pilosa, Megalonychidae. The transcript is spliced from 3 exons. The record is from RefSeq and is a predicted model, not a curated record.